GACCAAUGAUGAGACAGUGUUUAUGAACAAAAGAUCAUGAUUAAUCCAGUUCUGCACAAAACACUGAGGUCCAUUAGAAGACAAUAGGUCUUGGCUGUUUCAUUCCUUUUAAGAGCUGUUUAAUAUUCCACGGAGCCCUGGGCUCCCCCAGUGUUGCCUGGGUCUGACUUUGCCUCAGUGAAAACUGCCUCGAAUUCUUUCUUGCACCGAUGGGCAGAUGGGCAGUGUCGGAGGAUCGUGUCAUCUGUCCCGUGGCGCUGGUUGGCUUGGUCAAGUCAGUGUUCAAACUAUCUCCUGCUCUUUCAAGGGGAUCUGGGGCUCUAGAAGAUUAGAGGACUUGGAGAGGUUAGUGACUUGCUCGAGGUCGGCUAGGAAGCAAGACCCAGGAUUCCAACUCAGGUCUGUGUGAUUCCUCUGCAAAAUGGAGAGGUGGAAGGAUGGAUGUCAGGUCUGAUGGAUGGAUGGAUGCCUACAUCAAGAUACAUGCAUAGAUGGAGAGAUGGCUGGCUACCUCAUGAAUGCUGGACUGUUGUGAGAAUCAAACGAGAUAAUGUAUGCUGAGGCAUGCUGUGAACACUACGUGCUGGGUACAGGAGAAUGGAGGCUCCAGAGUGAAAUUAAUGACACUUUGUCGAUGAAGAUCUUGAUUGUGACCUCUGUGGAAAAUGAGCCAUGAACCAACCAAUGAUAAGUCUACUUUUCUUCCACGUAACAACCACAGGAUAGAUGACAUUCAUUUUCUAAGAAACAAAAUCUUGGCAGUUAGAUCCGUGGGGUAAAGAAUAUAGAUACUAAUGUAAGUUAACACCUCAAGUUCAUGUCCUUGGUUUGGAUGCUUUGUUCAGGAGUGUUUAGUGGUAUUUCAAAGGAAUCAAUAUCUAUAACAAAUUAAAAUAACCAGGAAUGGACCAGUGAUGGAAAUGUGUUCCGAAAAUAUGUUUAAUAUAAUUUGGCACAACUGAAGUGAUAAAAAUAUAGUAGUUAGACCAUUUAUAUUCACAAUUAUUUAACAUUGUAUCUUAUUUUCUACCUCAAAUGAUUUAAUCUUUUCCAUAUUGGUAUGGUCCUGGCCGAUAACUCUUUGUGUGGCAGCCUGAGAGAAUAUGGAAGACACUGUCAGUGUUGGAAGAUGGUGGUUUUAUCACUUUUCAUUGCACUGUCUUUAAAACAUGGGCAAAUUGACUAAAAGAAGACUACAGAAGAAAUAAUGGUGAUUGUGAAUUUGGUAUGAAGCAUGGAUGUUAAUUAAUCACACAUGUUCUCUGAGGUCCAUUGUAAAAGGAGACCUAGUCUUCAGGGAGAGAGCCACUAAUGGGGAGAUCUUAUUCCUAGAAUUUUGUGGUUAUAUUAUUAUUCAUGAACCAAUGAAUAAUAAAUGAAUGAUAUAAAGGAAGAAAAACGUGCUUGGACCAAUGAUGAGUACCAUGGGGUAUCUGAAACAGGAUUUUUGAUUAAACCCAUAUGCAAUUCUGAGGUCCAUUACAAAGAGACACGUAUUAUUCCUUUUUUGGGAAGUGAGCCUAUGGUACCUUUUCCUUGGACUUUGUGGUUCUUGGGGAUGGAUUGCAUUUUUGUUAUAAAAUCAGCCCAUGAAUUAAAAAUUUAUCAAUGAGUAAAACAUAAAGCAUAAGUCAUGUACUUAUUAUCAGUGACUGUAAUGAAACAUGGAUUAUUAUUAAAACUUAUCUGAGACUCCCAAUAAAUUAAUACCCAAGGCUUCUACCAUUCUGGUAAGGAGCAUAUGGUCAUUUGUAUGCAAGAGUCAGUUUUUGUUCUGUGUUGGUGGUGGGUUGCUGACUAUUUUAUGAAGAAAAUGAAGCAUCUUUAAUCAUAUAAAUAGUUGGUUAAAUAACCACUUAAUUGAGACCAAGCAGAGACCAAUGAUGAGUGUAUUAAUCUAUUUUUUAAUGGAUUUUUAUUAAACAAAUAAUAAAAGAAACACAGUCUAUUCUUCCUGAGGGCAAUAACUCUAGACAGAUGUAAAUAUUCUUCAGUGUUCUUGUCCAGUGCUGUGAGAUCACAGAUACUGAUGUCUUUUGUAUAUGAGAAGGAACUUGCAUUUUUAUGUCUCAGUUUAUAUUUUAGAGUCAGCAAACCAUGGACCAAUUAGGAACAAAUGUUAUGAUAUGAGAAUGCUGAUUCUUGUUUUUUUUUUUCAUGAUAGACAUUCUAAGAAAAACUCUAGGCUCUCUCAUUGUUUUUGGAAUACAUACAUGGUUCUUUCCAAGUAGUUUCUUAGAAAAAUGUUUUUAAAAAGAGGCUUUUAAAAAGAGCCUUUUAAAAUGUUUUUAAAAGAAGGCUUUAUUUUUCUCUAUAGAAUGAAAACCAUGUAGCUGGUCUUAUUAUUCUCUAAUCAUGAAGACCAUUAUUGUUAUUUGUGGACUAAGGAGCAGAAAGACUGAUAGUGGACAUAGGCCAGCUGAUUUAAUAAUUUAAGAAAGAACUGUUAUCCUGAGUAAGGAGCAUAGAGACAAAUAUAAAAUGAACGCACUCUACCUGAUUUAAUUAUAGUCUUCUGGUGAAGAUCUUGCUGUUAUCUCUGUGAAUCAGGAGAGAAGAGAUUGAUAAGGAAUAGACGAGAUUGGAUUUGGUCAUUUCCCCAAGGUGAAGAGCAUGGCGAUUUCUUCUGUGGUAAGGAGCAAUAAUGAAGACCAUGGUUGAUUUAAUCAGUCUCUGCUGAUGAAGAUCUUGGCUGUUACCUUUGUGUGUAAGGAAGCUAAAGACUUAAGUAAAUAACAGUCCAAAAACUUGUCAAUUAGGAAUGAAUGCGCAAUGAUUCAAUUAUUCUCCAGCGAGGAAGAUCAUGGUUGUUGUCUGUUUGAGUAAUGAGUGUAGAAACCUAUAAUGGAGGCGUGAUGGCUGAUGCAAUCAUUUUCCACUGAUGAAGGUUUUGAUGGCCACCUGUAAUGAACAGCCCCAUCUGAUUUAAUCACUGUGCAAUGACCGUGAACUGUACAGUUACCUCCGUGUGUCACAGGAAGACUCUUUUGACUUAAGCACCCUUCCAUGGUCAUGAGGUUUCUGGUUGCCUCUGUGUGUUAGAAGCUUGGAGACCAAUGCCUUCUGCUGUGAUCGCGUUCUCCACAGUUGCCUCUGGGUAGGAGCCUGGACACUAAUAGAAAAUGGAUGCACUUGAGCCGACCUAAGCAUUCAUGGUCAUGAGAUUUGUGGUUGCCACUGUUGGUUAGGAGCAUAGAGAUCAGUAAUGGACACACCUGGGCUGGCAGAACAUCUUGCCUUGAUCUGGAGCCCCAUGUCUGCCCCUCUGUAGAGGUGCACAUGGGCCAAUGAUGGAUGCAAUGAGCUGAUCAUUUUGCUGUGAUCAAGGCUAUGUUGCCUCUGUGUUAGGCCAAUGGUUGAUGUUCAUGGGUGAUUGAUCAUCCUGUAGCGACGGUGGUAUUGACUGUUCCCCAGAGGACAAGGAGUGUGUUCUUAUAAUGGACAUCAUGAUUGGGAUUGUCUUUAUUAAACUUUGUCAGGAGAGUAAAGAUCAAUGUGGCCACAUGUUGUGGCUCAUGCCUGUAAUCCCAACACUGUAAUCCCAGCACUGUAAUCCCAGCCUGUAAUCCCAGGCUGAGGUGGGCGGAUCACCUGAGGUUGGGAGUUCGAGACCAGCCUGACCAACAUGGAGAAACCCCGUCUCUACUAAAAAUACAAAAUUAGCCGGGCAUGGUGGCGCAUGUCUUUAAUUCCAGCUACUCAGGAGGCUGAGGCAGGAGAAACGCUUGAACCCGAGAGGCGGAGGUUGCAGUGAGCUGAGAUUGCGCCAUUGCACUCCAGCCUGGGCAACAAGAGUGAAACUCCAUCUCAAAAGAAAAAAAAAAGAAAACAAAACAAAAAAAGAAAAAACCAAUGUAAGUACCUGUUAAAGUUCUUGCUAUGGUUCCAGUGGUUUGCUUCCUAACUGUGUUAUUUAGAAAUUUGAAGUAUAUUUAAUGAAUGUCCUCCCUUCCCACUGGCCCUGCCAGGCAUGCUGCCAUCUGUUCUCUGGGACUUGUGAGUAGUACACUGCUCCUGUUAUUUCAUGUGCUUUGCUAAGUUGUUUCUUCUGUGUCUCAACUGAUCAACACACCCAGACCUAACUGAUUUCCAGGUUGGGGCUCUCCUAGAGAGUGCCUCUCUUGGUAGGAAUAAACUGGACACAGACAAGAGCCUCCAUGGUGUCUGCCUGUAUAACCAAGUUUUCUAUGAGAGGGACAAUGGGUCAUAGAUUGAACACUUGGGCAUUACAUCUGUGAGAAUAAGUCUAUAGUAAAUUUCAGUAAAUUUGAGGGAUCUAAUUAUGGGGUUUCAGUAGAUCCUGGGGAUUUAUUGCAUUAUUCGAAGGAAAUAAAUGAAAGAAUCAGCAAAACAUACAGACACACAUAUAAAUAAUUAAAGAUGAAGAGGAUAAAGCUGGAUUAAUUGAGGAAAAUGCUAUCAGACAGGAAUUUUUGGUUCUGUAAUUCUGAAACACUGCAAUGCAUUAAGAAACCUGUACAUCAAGGGUGUCACCUGUCUAGGGUAGGGUAAUAUAGAGUAGUUGUUCUCAAAUGCGAGCAUUGGAGUGACCUGGAGGGCUUGUAAAAUACAGAAGGUCACCUACAUUCUCAGGAUUUCUGAUUCAGUAGGUUUGGUGUGGGGUCUGAGAAUCUAAAUUUCUAAUAACUUAAUUUCUGUAGGUUCCAAUAGUUUCCCAAAUCAUGCUGAUGCUGCCUCCUGAGAAAUAUUUUCAGAAUCACUGAGAAAAAUGUAUGAAAUAGUUAAUGUCCUUGCUCUGUGUCAGUGGUGGAGGCUGUCUGCAGUAGGAGCAUGGAGACCAACAAUGGAUGCUCUUAAACUGAUUUAAGCACGCUUCCAUGGUCAGAAGCCUUAUGGUUGCCACAGGGUAUUAGGAGCAUGGAGACCAAUAAUGGAUGUCCUUGUUCUGAUUUGAGGAUGCCUCCAAGGUCACAUACUCUGUUUGCACCACGCUUAGGAAGGAGCGUGAAGACCAAGGGGAGUAAUAGUCAAAGUCCUUACCUUUGUUUGGGUGGUUUGUUUAAGAGUAAUCAACGUAUUAUUUAAAAGUGUGAAAUACAGUCAAAGAUGGCCAAUGUUAUUCCAGUGAUAUGGGAGUGACAUGAAGUAUUAUAUUGAUGAUGCAUAUAUAAAAAACAGGAUAGUUAAUGAAACACCCAAUGUUUGAGUGAUUCUGUAUACUGAUAGGGAAUAUCAAGAGUGUUACUGGGUUUUGUGAAUCACGGGCCUUGAAAGUAUUAUUAAUGAAUAAAUGACAUAAUCAAUAGACAAGGUAGAAAUGAAUAGCAAAAAAAAAGAA
RNAcentral lists this long non-coding RNA (5299 nucleotides) under Homo sapiens (human). RNAcentral's name for it is "maternally expressed 8, small nucleolar RNA host gene". The stretch from base 134 to 255 matches the Rfam family "Maternally expressed 8 exon 2". Lineage: Eukaryota; Metazoa; Chordata; Mammalia; Primates; Hominidae. The record is from RNAcentral.